Long non-coding RNA from Triticum urartu, 1098 nucleotides. RefSeq lists it as uncharacterized. Lineage: Eukaryota; Viridiplantae; Streptophyta; Magnoliopsida; Poales; Poaceae. The record is from RefSeq and is a predicted model, not a curated record.
CCUCCCCAAAUCCCCUCCCCUGACCUUCCCCGAUCGCCGCCGCUGCCUCCCUCCCUGAAUCGCGCCGCCGCCGCCAUCCUCCCGGGAUAGCGUUGCUGUCGCCGCCACCCUCCCUGGUUCGCGCCUCCGCCGCCUCCCUCCCUGGAUCACAACGCCGUCGCCCACCACUCCCGCGACACACCUCCGCCGCCACCCACCCUGUCCCCGACGCGCCUGCAGCCUUCCGCGCGGAUCCGGUCGGGGCCGGCGAGAUCCACGCGGCCGACCACAAGUUCUGCACUAUCCCACGACAUCCAUCCAACGAGAUCGACUGAUUUCAACAAAAUCAGUCCAUCGCCACCCGCGCACGGCUUGGAUUCUGCACGUCGCCGCCAUGAGAUGCAGUCUACUAGCUCACCUCUGCCACCAUGCCUCCUCACCUCUGCCAUCGAUGGUCGCCACUGUGCUCAAGGUCUCUUGUACAUGCCAUGGCCUGGGGCCCCAACCCCUUAUGCUACAGGAUCCUGGGGUCGCCGCUGGACCCGUCGCCGUCAGCCUCCCCGACCUUCUCUGGUUACUUGGACAGGACUGCCCUUGCCAUUGAGCGCGACCAGUGCAUGUAUUUCGUCCACGACCAAGCCACUGUGUUCAUCUUCAGUUCUGCGCCGACCAGUUGCAUAAUAGUAGCGGUUCAGGAAAGGAUGCAGGCUUCCACAGGGUGCUUGAAAAAUGCCACUUUCCCAAUCUCGUCUCUGUCUGAGCACGAAGCCACCGCUGCCCGUCAGUGCUUGGUCAACGACCGACCGAACAACUCUUCCCUCUCCACCACGAGAAGUUCGUCACCUCACGCGCGAGCAGUCCAUCUAUCGCCUCCCGUGCAAGCACUCCAUCACCUCACACAGUGUCCGUUCGACAGAGUUUGUCCUUUUGAAGAAGCAGAAAAUGGAGUUUGAAGCGGCCGCGGGCAGGUGGUGGCGUGGUUGUAGAAGAAGCGCUGGUGCGAACUCGUCCAUCCGGCGCUAGUAUACCAGUAUGAUUUGGAGGCGAAGAAUUUGUUGUGUCUCUUACCAUGAAUCUCUGUAGCUAUGGAAACUUGGCUUCCUGUAAAUUUUUAAGAUA